RNAcentral lists this long non-coding RNA (648 nucleotides) under Coffea arabica (coffee). Its description in RNAcentral is "long non-coding RNA (CARA_LNC004608)". The record is from RNAcentral. Lineage: Eukaryota; Viridiplantae; Streptophyta; Magnoliopsida; Gentianales; Rubiaceae.
UCACAAUUACUUCGAGUGUGUCCAAAUUUUCGACAUACCCCACAUCUGUACUUCACUUUCUCACCCUAACCAUGAUAAAGAAGAACAGAAAAAGCAACUAACAUUAGUUAAUAACCCAAUAAAUCUACAAAUUGAAUUGGUACAAAAAAGAAAGAGUGUUAACUGGAGAGGGGCCAGUCUCGGCUCUGGGUGGUUGAGUAGAUGGCUGACUACUUGCUGGUUCACAUGGUAUUUGAUUAAUGAGAUCAAGCAGAACUUCAUCAGUCAAGCAGGCACUUGUUCCAACCAUUGAUUCAGUUGUGAAACAAAGAUGUGUGUCUGUACCAACAGUUGAAUGUUGAGGCUGGUAUACAUUUUCUUCUUGUUGUGGCUGAAGCUCUUCAUUUCGUGGACCAUUUGCUAUCUCAUGUUGACCACAUGUUGUUAUAUGUGGACCACGUGCUGCCUCAUUUGUGUUUGCAGUAUCUCUUUGUUGUGUAGCUUCCUACUCAUGUGGAUUAAAAGUGACAUGAUGUGUACUUGCUGCUGCUCUUCUAUUGCCAUUUGCUGCACUUGCAUUUUCUGGACACUUUCUACUGUUGUGGCCUAAUUUUUUGCACUUUCUACAUUUAUACUCUAUCAACCCAACUCUAGACAGCUUUUUAAGUU